GACGAACGCUGGCGGCGUGCUUAACACAUGCAAGUCGAACGGAAAGGCCCUGCUUUUGUGGGGUGCUCGAGUGGCGAACGGGUGAGUAACACGUGAGUAACCUGCCCUUGACUUUGGGAUAACUUCAGGAAACUGGGGCUAAUACCGGAUAGGAGCUCCUGCUGCAUGGUGGGGGUUGGAAAGUUUCGGCGGUUGGGGAUGGACUCGCGGCUUAUCAGCUUGUUGGUGGGGUAGUGGCUUACCAAGGCUUUGACGGGUAGCCGGCCUGAGAGGGUGACCGGCCACAGUGGGACUGAGAGACGGCCCAGACGCCUACGGGAGGCAGCAGUGGGGAAGAUGGCACGACGGGCGGAAGCCUGAUGCAGCAACGCCGCGUGCGGGAUGACGGGGUUCGGGUUGUAAAACGCUUUCGCCUGUGACGAAGCGUGCGUGACGGUAAUGUGUAAAGAAGGACCGGCUAACUACGUG
This 468-nucleotide ribosomal RNA is filed under the name uncultured bacterium. RNAcentral describes it as "partial 16S ribosomal RNA". It matches the Rfam family "Bacterial small subunit ribosomal RNA", at positions 28 to 507 of the family's 1533-position model. The record is from RNAcentral.